GACGAACGCUGGCGGCGUGCUUAACACAUGCAAGUCGAACGGUAAGGCCCUUCGGGGUACACGAGUGGCGAACGGGUGAGUAACACGUGGGUGGUCUGCCCUGCACUUCGGGAUAAGCCUGGGAAACUGGGUCUAAUACCGGAUAGGACCAUGCGCUACACGGUGUGUGGUGGAAAGCGUUUGCGGUGUGGGAUGGGCCCGCGGCCUAUCAGCUUGUUGGUGGGGUAAUGGCCUACCAAGGCGGCGACGGGUAGCCGGCCUGAGAGGGUGACCGGCCACACUGGGACUGAGAUACGGCCCAGAGUCCUACGGGAGGCAGCAGUGGGGAAUAUUGCACAAUGGGCGCAAGCCUGAUGCAGCGACGCCGCGUGAGGGAUGACGGCCUUCGGGUUGUAAACCUCUUUCAGUAGGGACGAAGCGCAAGUGACGGUACCUACAGAAGAAGGACCGGCCAACUACGUGCCAGCAGCCGCCGUAA
Molecule: ribosomal RNA, 478 nt
Filed under: uncultured bacterium
Lineage: Bacteria
Description: partial 16S ribosomal RNA
Rfam family: Bacterial small subunit ribosomal RNA
Source: RNAcentral